Molecule: unclassified non-coding RNA, 329 nt
Filed under: soil metagenome
Description: partial contains 5.8S ribosomal RNA, internal transcribed spacer 2, and large subunit ribosomal RNA
Rfam family: 5.8S ribosomal RNA (bases 1-120)
Source: RNAcentral
GAUGAAGAACGUAGCGAAAUGCGAUAAGUAAUGAGAAUUGCAGAAUUCAGUGAAUCAUCGAAUCUUUGAACGCACAUUGCGCCCCCUGGUAUUCCGGGGGGCAUGCCUGUUCGAGCGUCAUUACAACCCUCAAGCUCUGCUUGGUAUUGGGCCCCGCCAGUUCUGGCGGGCCCUAAAGUCAGUGGCGGUGCCUUCCGGCUCCGAGCGUAGUAAUUCUUCUCGCUCUGGAGACCCGGUUGUGUGCUUGCCAACAACCCCCAAUUUUUUAAGGUUGACCUCGGAUCAGGUAGGGAUACCCGCUGAACUUAAGCAUAUCAAUAAGCGGAGGA